CCUACAGCGUUGUGCCAGGCACUGCCGAGGAUCCUUCUGUUUGCAGGCAGCCCAGAUUUGGCUGCAGCAGAAACAAGACGAGUGAUUCAGAGACCCGUCUCUGCGAGGACCUCGUGUUCCCACGUCUGCCCACGCUCUGCUAGGCUGUGCAAGGAGCCCGCUUUAUUUAAGGUUUCCUGACUGCGUUUUCCUGCUGAGGAGCCACAGAACAAACACGCCUUGUUAGGCUUCAUUUAAUGCAGCAAGAAUAAACCAGAAAUCCACUGGGCUUGUGCAAGAAUUACAGCCAGGGAAAAAAGGAUCAGAGAGCAGCAGCCACUCAAACCGAGGGGCUGCAGCUCUCACCCUCAGCCCUGAGCCCAUGGUGCCCCUUCAAGGGCACAGCCUGCCCCCAGCAGCGUGCAGAUAAAGCACCGUAUGAGAAAUGCCCCAUAGGGAAGCACUGUAAUAUGCAGAGAAGACAGACCGUUAGGCAUGGGUUUAAAAUCAGCGUUGAAACAAAACUCUGAAAUUAAA
Molecule: long non-coding RNA, 516 nt
Organism: Oxyura jamaicensis (ruddy duck)
Lineage: Eukaryota; Metazoa; Chordata; Aves; Anseriformes; Anatidae
Exons: 3
Source: RefSeq, a predicted model, not a curated record